Gallus gallus (chicken) is the source of this 1027-nucleotide long non-coding RNA. RefSeq lists it as uncharacterized. NCBI's taxonomy places the organism in Eukaryota, Metazoa, Chordata, Aves, Galliformes, Phasianidae. The transcript is spliced from 3 exons. The record is from RefSeq and is a predicted model, not a curated record.
GUCACGCGCGAGCCGCGCUCUGGGCGCCCCACAGCCGCUGCGACCUCCGCGGUGCGAGGCCGGGGGUUGCGCCCACUCACCCAGAAGAUGACAUUGAAGCCGAAGAUGAAAUAUUUGAUGCAACAACUGACUUCGGGCCCCUUGUAGUGCUUCCCGGACAUCCUCUGCGCUCAUGAAGACACUUUGCUCGCGGCCAGGAUGAAAACCGAAGAGGGUAGUCCUGCUUGCUCUGUGUAUUGUAUCAGUCUGCAGUCCUCAGGGAAGUUGGUGUUUUUCCACCCAGAAGUAUUAACUUCUUAGAAGAAACUGACUGUUUUUUCCCUCUUCAAUCCCUUUCCAGCUCUCUCCCACUACUUCUGCUGACUUCUAGAAGCACUUACUAGCACCAGAAUUAUCACAGAAACUUCCUCCUGGCUAAUAUUACCAAAGAAAGACCCACACAUAACAGCUACAGUUUGUCUUCAUGGUAUCAUCCUCCUAUAGCCAGUGGUACCACUGUGUGCCACCUGUGCAUGUCUGUUUUGGACAUCCUCUUCUCUUGGAAGGAAUCCUUCCUACUCAUUUUACCCUUCACUUCUCUUGGUGAUAUCAGCAUCAGUAUAUUCCCAAAAAAGUCAAUUCAAUGUGUGCAAAACAGGCUAGGUUGAAAUACAUGGAUGCUGACACAGUACUGCAAACCCCACAGAACCAAACCAGUAAUAUCAACAAGAACCAUCUGAUCCUAAUGCUGGGAAUAGCUGAACCCAUCUGCUAUGCUUUGUCUUGUCAGUAACAAAGUCUGGCAGGUCACUGGCUGCUCUCAGAGGAUGGACUCUGCUCUGCCACAAAGCAACAAGCCCCAGCUUGGACUUCUGGCCUCCAAAGAAAUUGCAGAGAGCUGGCUUGUCUCCGAGCUUAUAUAACUUUUAACAAACUAUUUUUAGGUGUUGGAUCUAGGUGAAUCAGCCAAACAAUCAAUGUAACCCUGUGAAAACAUUCUCUGAUUCAAAGAAAAACGCAUAGAAUAAAACAUCCUUGAGAACAUAAA